GCUCAGGUGAAACUACCAAUAGAAGAAACGCAAUGAACCGGCUUUGAAGCAACAUGACCCACGUCGGCGAUACAAAACUAUCCCCGGUAUAUCUGCAGAGCGAAAAAUCACGUGUUCCGUGAAGAGAAUUAGUAAAAAUAGAUUAUUAAAUUAUGAAUAUUUUGAUAUACAUGAAUUGAAUGUAUCAAUUAUACUACUAAAGGGUAUGCAUUGGAAGAAUUAUAUUAUCUGUGAAAAGAAAUCUUUAUUGUACACUGUAAUGUCUUGAUGAACAUUCCUAACCGGUGAUUUAUAAAUAAAAAUUGAAUUCUAUCA
RNAcentral lists this unclassified non-coding RNA (315 nucleotides) under Athalia rosae (coleseed sawfly). RNAcentral's name for it is "misc RNA ENSAEAG00005006828.1". The record is from RNAcentral. Lineage: Eukaryota; Metazoa; Arthropoda; Insecta; Hymenoptera; Athaliidae.